GGAUGUGAGGGCGAUCUGGCUGCGACAUCUGUCACCCCAUUGAUCGCCAGGGUUGAUUCGGCUGAUCUGGCUGGCUAGGCGGGUGUCCCCCUCCUCCCUCACCGAUCUAUGUGCAUCCCUCCCGAAGCUGCGCGCUCGGUCAAAGAGGACGACCUCCUUCCCCCCCCCCCCCCCCCCCCCCCCCAGGAGAGGACCGGUCUUCGGUCAAGGGUAUACGAGUAGCUGCGCUCUCCUGCUAGAACCUCCAAACAAGCUCUCAAGAAAGUGGAAAGAAAAUCCAUAGGAUAGAAAAAAUAGUUACAAAUAAUAUUUAUUGUAAGGUAUCUAGAACAUACCUAUAUAUUUA
Unclassified non-coding RNA from Myotis lucifugus (little brown bat), 346 nucleotides. Its record names the gene 7SK. It matches the Rfam family "7SK RNA". Rfam says of the family: 7SK was discovered as an abundant small nuclear RNA in the mid-70s but a possible function has only recently been suggested. Two independent studies have found that 7SK RNA binds the CDK9/cyclin T complex (known as elongation factor P-TEFb). Lineage: Eukaryota; Metazoa; Chordata; Mammalia; Chiroptera; Vespertilionidae. The record is from Ensembl.